UACAGAGGUGGCAAGCGUUGUUCGGAUUUAUUGGGUGUAAAGGGCAGGUAGGUGGUCAUGUAAGUCCGCUGUGAAAUCCCAGGGCUCAACCCUGGAACUGCAGUAGAAACUACACGACUUGAGUGUCGGAGAGGUGAGGGGAAUUCUCGGUGUAAGGGUGAAAUCUGUAGAUAUCGAGAGGAAUACCAGUGGCGAAGGCGCCUCACUGGCCGACAACUGACACUGAGCUGCGAAAGCAAGGGGAGCAAACAGG
RNAcentral lists this ribosomal RNA (253 nucleotides) under uncultured bacterium. RNAcentral's name for it is "partial 16S ribosomal RNA". It matches the Rfam family "Bacterial small subunit ribosomal RNA", at positions 524 to 776 of the family's 1533-position model. The record is from RNAcentral.